RNAcentral lists this ribosomal RNA (460 nucleotides) under uncultured bacterium. Its description in RNAcentral is "partial 16S ribosomal RNA". It matches the Rfam family "Bacterial small subunit ribosomal RNA", at positions 338 to 795 of the family's 1533-position model. The record is from RNAcentral.
CCUACGGGUGGCAGCAGUGAGGAAUAUUGGGCAAUGGGCGCAAGCCUGAACCAGCCAAGUCGCGUGAGGGAUGACGGUCCUCGGGAUUGUAAACCUCUUUUGUCGGGGAGCAAGGCCCGCCACGUGUGGCGAUAAGGAGAGUACCCGAAGAAAAAGCAUCGGCUAACUCCUUGCCAGCAGCCGCGGUAAUACGGAGGAUGCGAGUGUUAUCCGGAUUUAUUGGGUUUAAAGGGGUCGUAGGCGGAAGGUUAAGUCAGCGGUCAAAUGUCGGUUCUCAACACCGGCCUGCCGUUGAAACUGGUGUUCUUGAGUGAGCGAGAAGCAUGCGGAAUGCGUGGUGUAGCGGUGAAAUGCAUAGAUAUUACGAAGAACUCCGAUGGCGAAGGCAGCAUACCGGAGAUCAACUGACGCUGAGGCACGAAAGCGUGGGGAGCGAACAGGAUUAGAUACCCUAGUAGUC